UGCAAGUCGAACGAUGAAGCCCUUCGGGGUGGAUUAGUGGCGAACGGGUGAGUAACACGUGGGCAAUCUGCCCUUCACUCUGGGACAAGCCCUGGAAACGGGGUCUAAUACCGGAUAACACUCCCUCCCGCAUGGGUGGGGGUUAAAAGCUCCGGCGGUGAAGGAUGAGCCCGCGGCCUAUCAGCUUGUUGGUGAGGUAGUGGCUCACCAAGGCGACGACGGGUAGCCGGCCUGAGAGGGCGACCGGCCACACUGGGACUGAGACACGGCCCAGACUCCUACGGGAGGCAGCAGUGGGGAAUAUUGCACAAUGGGCGAAAGCCUGAUGCAGCGACGCCGCGUGAGGGAUGACGGCCUUCGGGUUGUAAACCUCUUUCAGCAGGGAAGAAGCGAAAGUGACGGUACCUGCAGAAGAAGCGCCGGCUAACUACGUGCCAGCAGCCGCGGUAAUACGUAGGGCGCAAGCGUUGUCCGGAAUUAUUGGGCGUAAAGAGCUCGUAGGCGGCUUGUCGCGUCGGUUGUGAAAGCCCGGGGCUUAACCCCGGGUCUGCAGUCGAUACGGGCAGGCUAGAGUGUGGUAGGGGAGAUCGGAAUUCCUGGUGUAGCGGUGAAAUGCGCAGAUAUCAGGAGGAACACCGGUGGCGAAGGCGGAUCUCUGGGCCAUUACUGACGCUGAGGAGCGAAAGCGUGGGGAGCGAACAGGAUUAGAUACCCUGGUAGUCCACGCCG
This 729-nucleotide ribosomal RNA is filed under the name Streptomyces rhizosphaerihabitans. RNAcentral's name for it is "bacterial SSU rRNA". It matches the Rfam family "Bacterial small subunit ribosomal RNA", at positions 56 to 802 of the family's 1533-position model. The record is from RNAcentral. RNAcentral also lists the same sequence under 1 other name. Lineage: Bacteria; Bacillati; Actinomycetota; Actinomycetes; Kitasatosporales; Streptomycetaceae.